RNAcentral lists this ribosomal RNA (314 nucleotides) under uncultured Pseudomonas sp. RNAcentral's name for it is "bacterial SSU rRNA". It matches the Rfam family "Bacterial small subunit ribosomal RNA", at positions 1067 to 1382 of the family's 1533-position model. The record is from RNAcentral. Lineage: Bacteria; Pseudomonadati; Pseudomonadota; Gammaproteobacteria; Pseudomonadales; Pseudomonadaceae.
GUGAGAUGUUGGGUUAAGUCCGUAACGAGCGCAACCCUGUCCUUAGUUACCAGCACGUUAUGUGGGCACUCUAAGGAGACUGCCGGUGACAACCGGAAGGAAGGUGGGGAGUGACGUCAAGUCAUCAUGGCCCUUACGGCCUGGGCUACACACGUGCUACAAUGGUCGGUACAAAGGGUUGCCAAGCCGCGAGGUGGAGCUAAUCCCAUAAAACCGAUCGUAGUCCGGAUCGCAGUCUGCAACUCGACUGCGUGAAGUCGGAAUCGCUAGUAAUCGUGGAUCAGAAUGUCACGGUGAAUACGUUCCCGGGCCUU